UACGGGGGGGGCGAGCGUUGUUCGGAAUUACUGGGCGUAAAGGGUUUGUAGGUGGCCUGCUAAGUCAGACGUGAAAUCCCUCAGCUUAACUGGGGAACUGCGUCUGAUACUGGAUGGCUUGAGUUUGGGAGAGGGAUGCGGAAUUCCAGGUGUAGCGGUGAAAUGCGUAGAUAUCAGGAGGAACACCGGUGGCGAAGGCGCCACUCUGGGCCGAAACUGACGCUGAGGAGCGAAAGCGUGGGUAGCAAACAGG
This 253-nucleotide ribosomal RNA is filed under the name uncultured bacterium. RNAcentral describes it as "partial 16S ribosomal RNA". It matches the Rfam family "Bacterial small subunit ribosomal RNA", at positions 524 to 776 of the family's 1533-position model. The record is from RNAcentral.